UACGUAGGUGGCAAGCGUUGUCCGGAAUUAUUGGGCGUAAAGCGCGCGCAGGCGGUCCUUUAAGUCUGAUGUGAAAGCCCACGGCUCAACCGUGGAGGGUCAUUGGAAACUGGGGGACUUGAGUGCAGGAGAGAAGAGUGGAAUUCCACGUGUAGCGGUGAAAUGCGUAGAUAUCUGGAGGAACACCGGUGGCGAAGGCGGCGUUCUGGACUGCAACUGACACUGAGGAACGAAAGCCAGGGGAGCAAACGGG
This 253-nucleotide ribosomal RNA is filed under the name uncultured bacterium. Its description in RNAcentral is "partial 16S ribosomal RNA". It matches the Rfam family "Bacterial small subunit ribosomal RNA", at positions 524 to 776 of the family's 1533-position model. The record is from RNAcentral.